RNAcentral lists this long non-coding RNA (802 nucleotides) under Coffea arabica (coffee). RNAcentral's name for it is "long non-coding RNA (CARA_LNC004624)". The record is from RNAcentral. Lineage: Eukaryota; Viridiplantae; Streptophyta; Magnoliopsida; Gentianales; Rubiaceae.
ACAUUUUAGGUAUUUUUAAAAGUUUACACUACUAACUGUUACCACCCGCCGCUACCAUCCUCUCCCUCCUCCUUCCUCCAUUCUUUUCUCUCUUUCUCUUCCUCUCCCUUCUUCUCUCUGUCUUCUCCCCUCCCCCUCCUUCCUUCUCCCUCUUUUCCUCUCCUCCCUUCCCUUUUCCCGCCGGCACCCUUUCCCUUCCCCUCUCUCUCCCCCUCCGUGACUAGUCACAACCAAAGGGCCACAACCAGAGAUUUAGAUCUAGUAGUAAUUGGUUGCAAUCAGAAGCUAGUCAUGACCAUUUGAUCGAUGGCCGUGCACCAUCAACUAGAUCUGAAGUGGAGAGGAAGGAGUUUCUGGCAUAGGGAAAGGGUAAGGAGAGGAGAGGAGAAGGAAGGAGGGAAAGGAAGGAAGAGGAAAAAGGAAGGAGGGGGAGAAAGAGAAGGUGAGAGAAGAGAGGAGGGAGGGGAUGGUGGUAGUGCUGGUGGUAGGUGGAAAUGGCGGUGAUGGAUGACGAAAGAAGAAGAAGUGAUAGAAUUAUUAUUAUUAUUAUUGUAUUUGUGAGUUGUUUUUUAUGAAUUGAUGAUAUUUUUGAAGUUGUUUUUGUUUGUUUAUUUCUGUAGUAUUGUAUUUGAAAAACUAGUUUUUAAAAAAUAGCAAUAUCCAAACAGAGCCAAAUCCUGUUUAGAUUCAUUUGUAGAUUUACAAAAUAUUGCAUUUUGCGUUUGCAAUUAUAGUGUUGUCUCAUUAGUUCUUUAGAAAUUGCACGAAUCCUUUAAUUUAAAUGCAAAAUUAAUGAUUCCCA